Molecule: ribosomal RNA, 399 nt
Filed under: uncultured bacterium
Lineage: Bacteria
Description: partial 16S ribosomal RNA
Rfam family: Bacterial small subunit ribosomal RNA
Source: RNAcentral
CCUACGGGAGGCAGCAGUGAGGAAUAUUGGUCAAUGGUCGGGAGUCUGAACCAGCCAAGCCGCGUGAAGGAGGACGGUACUAUGGGUCGUAAACUUCUUUUGUAAGGGAAUAAAACGAGGCACGCGUGCCCGGCUGCAUGUACUUGAAGAAAAAGGAUCGGCUAACUCCGUGCCAGCAGCCGCGGUAAUACGGAGGAUGCGAGCGUUAUCCGGAUUUAUUGGGUUUAAAGGGAGCGUAGGCGGGUUGUUAAGUCAGCGGUGAAAGGUCGGGGCUCAACCCCGACACUGCCAUUGAGACUGGCAGUCUUGAGUAGAGUAGAGGUAGGCGGAAUGCGUGGUGUAGCGGUGAAAUGCUUAGAUAUCACGCAGAACACCGAUUGCGAAGGCAGCUUACCAACC